AGCUUGCUAUGAUGAAAAUUAGUGGCAGACGGGUGAGUAAUGCAUAGGAAUCUACCUAGUAGUAUGGGAUAGCCACUAGAAAUGGUGGGUAAUACUGUAUAAUCCCUGCGGGGGAAAGAUUUAUCGCUAUUAGAUGAGCCUAUGUUAGAUUAGCUAGUUGGUGGGGUAAAGGCCCACCAAGGCAGUGAUCUAUAGCUGGUCUGAGAGGAUGAUCAGCCACACUGGAACUGAGAUACGGUCCAGACUCCUACGGGAGGCAGCAGUGGGGAAUAUUGGACAAUGGGCGCAAGCCUGAUCCAGCUAUGCCGCGUGAGUGA
This 317-nucleotide ribosomal RNA is filed under the name Anaplasma phagocytophilum. RNAcentral describes it as "bacterial SSU rRNA". It matches the Rfam family "Bacterial small subunit ribosomal RNA", at positions 77 to 408 of the family's 1533-position model. Lineage: Bacteria; Pseudomonadati; Pseudomonadota; Alphaproteobacteria; Rickettsiales; Anaplasmataceae. The record is from RNAcentral.